Molecule: ribosomal RNA, 585 nt
Filed under: uncultured marine bacterium
Lineage: Bacteria
Description: bacterial SSU rRNA
Rfam family: Bacterial small subunit ribosomal RNA
Source: RNAcentral
CCUACGGGAGGCAGCAGUGGGGAAUAUUGCACAAUGGGCGCAAGCCUGAUGCAGCCAUGCCGCGUGUGUGAAGAAGGCCUUCGGGUUGUAAAGCACUUUCAGCGAGGAGGAAAGCUUAAGCGUUAAUAGCGUUUAGGUGUGACGUUACUCGCAGAAGAAGGACCGGCUAACUUCGUGCCAGCAGCCGCGGUAAUACGAGGGGUCCAAGCGUUAAUCGGAAUUACUGGGCGUAAAGCGUACGCAGGCGGUUUGUUAAGCGAGAUGUGAAAGCCCCGGGCUCAACCUGGGAACUGCAUUUCGAACUGGCAAACUAGAGUCUUGUAGAGGGGGGUAGAAUUUCAGGUGUAGCGGUGAAAUGCGUAGAGAUCUGAAGGAAUACCGGUGGCGAAGGCGGCCCCCUGGACAAAGACUGACGCUCAUGUACGAAAGCGUGGGGAGCAAACAGGAUUAGAUACCCUGGUAGUCCACGCCGUAAACGAUGUCUACUCGGAAUUUGGUGUCUUGAACACUGGGUUCUCAAGCUAACGCAUUAAGUAGACCGCCUGGGGAGUACGGCCGCAAGGUUAAAACUCAAGGAAUUGACGG